RNAcentral lists this long non-coding RNA (3740 nucleotides) under Physcomitrium patens. RNAcentral describes it as "long non-coding RNA (PPAT_LNC002450)". The record is from RNAcentral. Lineage: Eukaryota; Viridiplantae; Streptophyta; Bryopsida; Funariales; Funariaceae.
UUAUUGCAAGAAAACACAUAAAAUAUUUAAAAAAUAAAUGCAAGUUUGGAAUAAAUGAAAUGUGGCCAAAUCUCCCUCUCUCUCUCCUUUGCUUUGUGCAAUAUUCAUUACUAUUCUAGGAAAUUGUUUGAUGUAUGAAUGCCAUUAACCCCAAACUUGGACACCCUCCACAACCAAAACUAAUUCUAGGAUGUCUUUUUGUCUUCAUCAACCUCUUCCACAACAAUUGCUUCCUCAUCCCAUGAUGUUUUUAUAACCAUAGUUGGAGCCCCCCAUUGGAGGAUCAAAAGCACAAAACCCACGUAAAAUUUGUACAUCAUGUUGCCAAACAAUGUAUUUAUAAAGACCACAACACAAGGUUAUAACAGCCCAAGCUCCUAAUGACUCCAUGGUCAAAGACAGUUUUACGCUGUACAACUUGUUUGUGCUUGUAAGAUGGUGCUCGAUGAGGAUUCACUUCAUUAACUGCAGCUUUAUAAGUUUAUUCUUAUUUUUUUUAUUAUUAUUAUAGCUCUGGUGCCUGACACAAAGCAAUUUUUGUGGUGCAGGAAACAAUGGUAAGUAGAGUAGUUGGAGCAGGUGAGAUUAUGAGCAAAUGAGCCUCCACCACAAGUUCAUCACAACAAUGCCCUCCUGAUGCAAUGUAACUUCACUUCCCUCUGCUCAACUCCACUUUCAUUUUUUUAAUAUAUUGGCAGCCAAAAUCAGGAACCACCAUGUUUGCUUACAAAGCCUAUUUCAGCUUCAAGUGUAGUUGAUAUUACCUUUGUGUGGAUAUGUCCAUGUCGGAUGGAUACAUGGCCAAAUUUCUUGUCACUCACACCCCAAAUUGGCCAAGGAGGAUUUACUUUUUAUAUUUUAUUUUUUUAUUAUUGCAAGCGGAUGUCACAAUCCAUGAAGAGCACAAGGCAACAAAACCCUAAUUCUUUGCACACUUGGAUUUAGGGUUAGCAAUGUGGUGGGGUCGUCACAAAAAUCACCAGAAAAUCCAUGUCUCUAGCUUGCUUGCUUGCUUGCUUGUAGUAAUGCCACAAUUGGAUUCUCAAGUGGUAAGCCCUACUUCAUUGCUGCUACAGUGCUGAUGCUGCUGCAGCUUCUGUGCCACUGGAGUGUACCACUGGAGCUCCAACAUCACAUCUGACCUAGAAUGGAUAUUUUACCCACUGAUAAUUCCACUGCAACACUCUCUCACACACACAUGCACACUCUCAUACACACCAAGGGUGAAGGACAUACACCUCACCCAUUGUCAACCCUAAAUGUCAACCCAUAGAUUUUAGUCUUGAUUUUUGAAUCUUAAUUGCUGAAGCUUAGUUAAAUAUGUAAUUUGAACAGGAAUAGAGUAUAUGUAUAUAUAUAUAUAUAUAUAUGUGUGUGUGUGUGUGUGAUGAUUUCUUUCUUGGGUAGUGGUCAUGUUAUUUUAAAUUAUUGUGAGUAUUACAUUCUUAAAAUGUUUAUUAUUGUAUUGAGUGUUACACUCUGUAAGUAUUUUUUUUCUAUGUUGGGCAUUGUGUUCAAAUGUUUUUAUUUGCAUUACAGGAAGCCAAUGACAAGUGACAGUUGAAAAACAUUGGUUUCAUAGUUGCAGAUACUGCAUUAUAAUUUUCUUUGAAAAACCAUCAACAAUAUACAAAUAUAGUUCACAUUUUAGGUCAGAUAGUAAGUUUAUUAUCUAUUAAUAAUGACUAUAUAUAUAUAUGUAUUAUUAUUUAUAAAUAAUGAGAAUAUAUUUGCGAAAUUUUAUAAAUUCUAUCCACUAUUGCAUUUAAUUUUAGAGUAAUAAAGAUCUUUUAUUAUUAUUGCUAAUAAUAUAAAUUUUGUAACUAAUAGACAUAUAAGGUAAUUUCCUAAAGAUCCUAUUUAAAUAGUUAUCAAUAAGUAUUGUGAAAUCUUUAUGAAUCUUGGUAUGAUUAAGGUUGUUCUCAAAGGGAACUAUUUGUAUUUGAUGGUUGAUUUUCUUUGUUUAGUAUGAUGACAUUAGAUAACUUGCAAACAUGGACAAUUUACAAAUGUAUUCUUUUUGUAUAUUGGUAUAGACUAAUUGUAUAACAAUAAUAACAUGUUUUGAUGUAUUCUCUUAACUAUAAUAAAACAAAAUAUUCAUCUAAUAUAGUAUUUUAAAUAAUCUAGAUCAAAAGAAUUUCAGGUCUAAUCAUCUAUAAAAAUAAAUAUAAUUAUAUUUCUUUCUGUUCUUUGUGACUUUAUUUUAUUUCUGAAAUUGAAUCCAAUUCUUUUUUACAAAAUGUCUAUUACAAACAGUUUCACUUUGAUAAUCUAAAACCUUUGCAUUAAGAAGGACAGAUGUUAUCAUCAACACCAUCAAAAUACUACAUGUUUCUAAAAUAUCAUCAUACAAAACUUUCACAAAGUGUGUGCACAUUUUUAGCUUUAAUUUAGUUACGCAUCUGUUUAACACUGUUGACAACAUUACAAACCAUACAAAUCAAUAUAAACAGAAUCCUUCCAUUUAGAACUAUAUAUAUAUAUAUAUAUAUAUAAAUAAAUAUAUAUUUAUCAAAAAACAAACUACAGUGUUUUUGACUCCAAUUUAGUUCUGUUGUUUUAUUUUUAUUAUUAUUUUUUUUCAAGAGGAUCACUUGGAGAGUGGGCCUGACUGACUGACAGUCUGUCUGUGAGUUUGUCUGAGGAUGAUGAAUCCAAUCCUCAACAUCAGAAAUGGGUACAAAGCACCAGAAAAUGUGUUCAUUCAUGAAGGUGGCUGAGUGCUGAUUCACACAAGAUCUUGCCUCACUCACUGCAGGUUGGUUGUUGAACCCACUGCACCUCAUUACUGGGGUUGUUGGAGCCCAGAUCACAAGACCAAAAGUAAAAUCCGAAACCCUAAAAAUAUAUAUAUAUAAAUCCCCAUUUGACUUUACCAAGUCUAUUAAAAGGCUGCAAAAAACUGUUUGUGGGUCAUGGACAAUGGAAAGUCUUUCCUAUGGACAAGGCUCUUGCAAGAAGGUGUGAUCUUUGCUAUGAGGCUUUCAUAAUCCUAAGCCCAUUUUUUUUUAUUUUUUUUGUCUUUGGUGUAUGGCUUUCGCCAUGUGCCUUGGCAUUCAUUCCAGUAUGUUAGGCCCUUUUCAUUGUUAGGGUGAUUGAGUAUCCCACUUUUUUUCUGUGGCAGUUUUCCUCAUGUUCACUGCUUCUUCAAAUAGAGUAAUGGUUAAAAAUAUGUGGGUAUGUUGUAGACAAUGCUUAGUGCAUUGAUUGAUGACAAUUUGUGAUACAUUUCUUCCACAAAAAAGAUUAUGUGUUUCUAUGUUGUUUGAUAGUUGUUUGUUUGUUCUUUCUUCUUCUUAAAACAUAGGUUGGUAAACCCCCAUUCUAUAAAGUUUGAAAUGCAUUAGAUAGCAGGAUUUUAACAUUUUUUUAAGGAUUAGGAAUAGAUUAUAUACAAAACUUAGAAAGUAAAAUUUUGUUGCACCAAAUGGUUUUAUUUAUGACUAUCAUGCUUAGUUUUUUCACUCUAAUAUAUGAAUCUUCAAAUUGUUACAAAAUUGCAUAAAUUUCUUUAAGAAAUAUUUGCAUAUCUUUUGUAGGAUUGUACAUCUAUUGGCUUUACUAUCAUCUGUAAGGCAGUUCUAUACAAUUACUUCUAUUUAAAACUUCUCCAUAACUUAUCCUCAAAGAUCUUAGCAUUGCAUUGUUCUUAUUUGACCCAAGAACAAGCAUUUACAAUGAAGGGCCAUAAAAGAAUUUGUGCCCUUAAUUUAGAUGAGAAAUUCUCCUGAAAAAAC